This 787-nucleotide ribosomal RNA is filed under the name uncultured bacterium. RNAcentral's name for it is "bacterial SSU rRNA". It matches the Rfam family "Bacterial small subunit ribosomal RNA", at positions 8 to 796 of the family's 1533-position model. The record is from RNAcentral.
AGAGUUUGAUCAUGGCUCAGGAUGAACGCUAGCGGCAGGCUUAACACAUGCAAGUCGAGGGGUAUAGGUUUUCGGACCUAGAGACCGGCGCACGGGUGCGUAACGCGUAUGCAAUCUACCUUUUACAGAGGGAUAGCCCAGAGAAAUUUGGAUUAAUACCUCAUAGUAUUAUUGAAUGGCAUCAUUUAAUAAUUAAAGUCACAACGGUAAAAGAUGAGCAUGCGUCCCAUUAGCUUGUUGGUAAGGUAACGGCUUACCAAGGCAACGAUGGGUAGGGGUCCUGAGAGGGAGAUCCCCCACACUGGUACUGAGACACGGACCAGACUCCUACGGGAGGCAGCAGUGAGGAAUAUUGGUCAAUGGGCGCAAGCCUGAACCAGCCAUGCCGCGUGCAGGAUGACGGUCCUAUGGAUUGUAAACUGCUUUUGUACAGGAAGAAACAGUUCUACGUGUAGAACCUUGACGGUACUGUAAGAAUAAGGAUCGGCUAACUCCGUGCCAGCAGCCGCGGUAAUACGGAGGAUCCAAGCGUUAUCCGGAAUCAUUGGGUUUAAAGGGUCCGUAGGCGGUUUUGUAAGUCAGUGGUGAAAGCCCGUCGCUCAACGGCGGAACGGCCAUUGAUACUGCAAGACUUGAAUUAUUAGGAAGUAACUAGAAUAUGUAGUGUAGCGGUGAAAUGCUUAGAUAUUACAUGGAAUACCAAUUGCGAAGGCAGGUUGCUACUAAUGGAUUGACGCUGAUGGACGAAAGCGUGGGGAGCGAACAGGAUUAGAUACCCUAGUAGUCC